This is a long non-coding RNA of Mustela lutreola (European mink), 1698 nucleotides long. RefSeq lists it as uncharacterized. The record is from RefSeq and is a predicted model, not a curated record. NCBI's taxonomy places the organism in Eukaryota, Metazoa, Chordata, Mammalia, Carnivora, Mustelidae. The transcript has 3 exons.
CAUUUCCUUCUUGACACGUGUACUUAUACUGCACUGCCUUUGAUUUGUGGUUCUUUUGCAGGAACAAUACCCACCCUCCAUUUAGAGGGUUUACUUACUUAAAUCUAGAUAUUAUAACCAUCAAUAACAUACACUACAAGGACCUGUAAAUGAGUGAGGUGACCUGUAAGUGAGUGACAGCCUUCCAAGCUGAGAACCCCCCUCUCCUCCUGGGGAUACUGUCGGUAGCUGACACGGCUGAAGCCUGGCGGGUUGUGUGUGCCAAUACUAAGAAUGAGGAAAACUCCAUGUGUUUAUUUUUAGAUGAAGAAAGGAAAGCUCUGAUACUAUCUUCCCAUGCUUCUGCGGACGGUGGGUGCGACCUCUGGGUGUGUGUACUCAUCCACUUUGGAGAUUCUGGAUGGAGAUAACAAAAUGUGUACAAUCAAAGUGAGGCAGACGGCACAGCGUUCAAGCAAGGGUACUUCAGACCAACGUGAAAGACUGCGGACAUGUCGCAUCAUCAAAGCAGCAAGUAAUGCAAUGGAAUCUACUUUGGUUCACUCUGUGGUUUACACAGACUUGUCUCUAAGCCUCAAGGAACUUGUGUUCCCACUGGAGGAGCCGUGGAGUAGGCAAGAGACUCCCUCUCUACAUUUUAUUUAUUUGACAGAGAGAGAGGGAGAGAGAGAAAGAGAGAGAGCGAGCACCAACAUGAGCAGAGGGAGAGGGAGAAGCAGGCUCCCUGCCGAGCAAGGAGCCCAACGUGGGGCUCCAUCCCAGAACCCUGGGAUCAUGACCUGAGCCGAAGGCCGCCACUUAAUUGACUGAGCCACCCAGGCGUCCCAAAACUCUUCUGUUUUUACUUGAAACUUGGUCGAUGUUGAUGCCAUUUACUGAGAUAAGGAAGACUGCACAAGGAAGAGCUGAUUCAUUUUGUGUUUGACUUUUUGAAGAAAACAAGGAAUUCUGAUUGAACCUUCUUCAACAUUUGUGGGAUUGUCACGUAGGCAACUGGACGUACUUGUCUGGAGCUCAGAAAGGACGGUCGGGUUUGGAAAUCCACAAAAUCUAACAUGACUUUUACACUGUCCAGAGAUAAGAACAGUUCUUGCCUUUAACACACUGCAUAUGUUACUAUUAAUUGACUCUGCUCUUUACUUAUAUUCAGCCAUGAAAUUCCUUUCACGUCUUCUCUCAUUUGGUGUCACAAUUCUAUUGUCCUGUUACUUAAUCCACCCAGAUCAUAUCACCUAUGGGUUAGAUGGGAGGGACAUACAGCAGUGGCUCACAGAUAUCUGGUCAUUUGGAAAACACGCUGGAAGGAUCUGCGAAGUUAAAAGUGCUCCAAGGUUAGUGCCUCCUGUCUCAGAUAUUCAACACUGCUGACUGUCUUAAUGAAAAAUAUCAACUCUGAACUCCCUGUCAGCUAAAAAUAACAGUAAUUCUUAGUCUUUUUUACCAAUACUUUUCAAGGUUAACUCCAUGAAAAAAGAUAUAGCAAAGGCUUGCUGGAGCCAAAUUUCAGGGGCACUUAGGGCAGGGAAGGGGAAGGCAAAGUGCUGAAAGAAGCAAAAAGUAGAGAUGUUAUUUACAGCUCUGUCAUGGCAUUCUUUUCAAAAUAUGCAAAAGAGUUUAAACAACUUUUUGAAUGAACUUCCAUUGUGCCUGCACUAUUUUGGAUGGCAGUAUUCAAUAAAAAACUGUUGGACAACCUGA